GACGAACGCUGGCGGCGUGCCUAAUACAUGCAAGUAGAACGCUGAAGAGAGGAGCUUGCUCUUCUUGGAUGAGUUGCGAACGGGUGAGUAACGCGUAGGUAACCUGCCUUGUAGCGGGGGAUAACUAUUGGAAACGAUAGCUAAUACCGCAUAACAAUGGAUGACACAUGUCAUUUAUUUGAAAGGGGCAAUUGCUCCACUACAAGAUGGACCUGCGUUGUAUUAGCUAGUAGGUGAGGUAAUGGCUCACCUAGGCGACGAUACAUAGCCGACCUGAGAGGGUGAUCGGCCACACUGGGACUGGGACACGGCCCAGACUCCUACAGGAGGCAGCAGGAGGGAAUCUUCGGCAAUGGGGGCAACCCUGACCGAACAACGCCGCGUGAGUGAAGAAGGUUUUCGGAUCGGAAAGCUCUGUUGUAAGUCAAGAACGGGUGUGAGAGUGGAAAGUUCACACUGUGACGGUAGCUUACCAGAAAGCGACGGCUAACUACGUG
RNAcentral lists this ribosomal RNA (497 nucleotides) under uncultured bacterium. RNAcentral's name for it is "partial 16S ribosomal RNA". It matches the Rfam family "Bacterial small subunit ribosomal RNA", at positions 28 to 507 of the family's 1533-position model. The record is from RNAcentral.